CAGUAAAUAGUUUAAAUUAAAAUAUUAAUUUUGGAGAUUAAAGUUAAGUAUUACUUUUUACUGA
RNAcentral lists this transfer RNA (64 nucleotides) under Pachyphlegyas modiglianii. RNAcentral describes it as "tRNA-Pro". The record is from RNAcentral. Lineage: Eukaryota; Metazoa; Arthropoda; Insecta; Hemiptera; Pachygronthidae.